RNAcentral lists this long non-coding RNA (458 nucleotides) under Mytilus galloprovincialis (Mediterranean mussel). Lineage: Eukaryota; Metazoa; Mollusca; Bivalvia; Mytilida; Mytilidae. The record is from RNAcentral.
UCUGUCCGUUCAGUCUUGUUAGCGCUGUCAUUUGUACAAUUAUUGUCAGAAUUUUGUGAAACUUAUAUCAUCAUGCAGCAAUGUCUUUCACUCAUGCGAGUAUAAAUCCUGAUCAAAUAUUUUUAACCAAUAUAUGCCCCUUGGAAAUAUAAAUUAUAAAUGCAAAUCUCAUUGUAUUUGUUUGGAAGCUUUUUCUCUUGAGAUAUAAAUUUAAAAAAAGAAAAAGUGCUUUGUUUAGUUUUUGCCCUCUUGUACAUAAAAAUGUAUCUUGUAUGCGGGGGACAUUGGAUCUCUGAUCUUUUAUUGAAAACAACAUUAAUAUUUGUACCUAGAUGGAAAAGGGUAUUCAUGAGUCCUGGAAUAAAAACACUUCAUUACAAAUAGAGUCGUCGUCUUUCAUGCCAAAGAAAACGAUAUUAGGAUAUGAUGUUUCAGAUUUUUUUAUCCAUCUUGUUUAC